CAUCGGAUAGCUCAGUUGGCUAGAGCUGGUGGUUGAAAGCCCCACCUUAAUGUAGAAGGAAAGUCGUAGGUUCGAAUCCUGCUCCGAUGG
RNAcentral lists this transfer RNA (90 nucleotides) under Caudoviricetes sp. Its description in RNAcentral is "tRNA-Phe". It matches the Rfam family "tRNA". Rfam says of the family: Transfer RNA (tRNA) molecules are approximately 80 nucleotides in length. The record is from RNAcentral. Lineage: Duplodnaviria; Heunggongvirae; Uroviricota; Caudoviricetes.